RNAcentral lists this ribosomal RNA (773 nucleotides) under uncultured Neocallimastigales. RNAcentral describes it as "partial large subunit ribosomal RNA". It matches the Rfam family "Eukaryotic large subunit ribosomal RNA", at positions 23 to 645 of the family's 3401-position model. The record is from RNAcentral. Lineage: Eukaryota; Fungi; Neocallimastigomycota; Neocallimastigomycetes; Neocallimastigales.
AGAGAGAGACAUGCGCGCAUAUCAAUAAGCGGAGGAAAAGAAACUAACUAGGAUUCCCUCAGUAACGGCGAGUGAAGCGGGAAGAGCUCAAAUUUGAAAUCUUCAAGGUUCUACCUUGACGAAUUGUAGUUUAAAGAAGUGUUUUCUGUUGAAGUUUUGGUAAAAGUUCUUUGGAAUAGGACAUCAUAGAGGGUGAGAAUCCCGUAUUUGACCAUUAUUUCCAGCUUUGUGAUACACUUUCAAAGAGUCGGAUUGUUUGGGAAUGCAGUCCAAAAUGGGUGGUAAAUUUCAUCUAAAGCUAAAUACUGGCGAGAGACCGAUAGCGAACAAGUACCGUGAGGGAAAGAUGAAAAGAACUUUGAAAAGAGAGUUAAACAGUACGUGAAAUUGUCAAAAGGGAAGCGUUUGACACCAGUGUUGUUUUCUCGAAAAUCAAUUAAAAAAGGCAGGAUUUUGUGUUGUAUUGACUUUAUCAGCUUUCUGCACUCUUUUCUUGUCUUUUUUAAUGCACUUUUCGUUUAACAAGUCAACAUCAAUUUCUUUUGUUGUAAAAGGGUCAUUGGAAGGUGGCUUUCUUUUCGGAGAAAGUGUUUAUAGCCUUUGGCCUCUGCAAUCGGAGAGAUUGAGGUCUGCAGCGUAGAUCCUUCGGGGUUAGAUACAUUUGUGCUAAGUUAUAGCCUUUCAUAGACAACUUGUUGACUAUGAUCAGUCAUGUAGCUUACUCGCUUAUGCUAUUUUACCUACGCUUAGGAUGUUGAUGUGAUACUGCGAGC